RNAcentral lists this ribosomal RNA (464 nucleotides) under uncultured bacterium. RNAcentral's name for it is "partial 16S ribosomal RNA". It matches the Rfam family "Bacterial small subunit ribosomal RNA", at positions 29 to 507 of the family's 1533-position model. The record is from RNAcentral.
ACGAACGCUGGCGGCUUGCUUAACACCUGCAAGUCGAACGGAAAGGCCCUGCUUGCAGGGUACUCGAGUGGCGAACGGGUGAGUAACACGUGGGUGAUCUGCCCUGCACUUCGGGAUAAGCCUGGGAAACUGGGUCUAAUACCGGAUAUGACCUUCCAUGUAGUGUGGGGGGUGGAAAGAUUUAUCGGUGUGGGAUGAGCCCGCGGCCUAUCAGCUUGUUGGUGGGGUAAUGGCCUACCAAGGCGUCGACGGGUAGCCGGCCUGAGAGGGUGGACGGCCACAUUGGGACUGAGAUACGGCCCAGACUCCUACGGGAGGCAGCAGUGGGGAAUAUUGCACAAUGGGCGGAAGCCUUAUGCAGCGACGCCGCGUGGGGGAUGACGGCCUUCGGGUUGUAAACCUCUUUCGACAGGGACGAAGCUUCGGUGACGGUACCUGUAUAAGAAGCACCGGCUAACUACGUG